RNAcentral lists this ribosomal RNA (484 nucleotides) under uncultured bacterium. RNAcentral's name for it is "partial 16S ribosomal RNA". It matches the Rfam family "Bacterial small subunit ribosomal RNA", at positions 29 to 507 of the family's 1533-position model. The record is from RNAcentral.
AUUGAACGCUGGCGGCAUGCUUUACACAUGCAAGUCGAACGGCAGCGCGGGCUUCGGCCUGGCGGCGAGUGGCGAACGGGUGAGUAAUGCAUCGGAACGUGCCCAGUAGUGGGGGAUAGCCCGGCGAAAGCCGGAUUAAUACCGCAUACGACCUGAGGGUGAAAGCGGGGGACCGAAAGGCCUCGCGCUAUUGGAGCGGCCGAUGUCGGAUUAGCUAGUUGGUGGGGUAAAGGCUUACCAAGGCGACGAUCCGUAGCUGGUCUGAGAGGACGACCAGCCACACUGGGACUGAGACACGGCCCAGACUCCUACGGGAGGCAGCAGUGGGGAAUUUUGGACAAAGGGGGCAACCCUGAUCCAGCCAUGCCGCGUGCGAGAAGAAGGCCUUCGGGUUGUAAACCGCUUUUGUUCGGGAAGAAAUCCUCUGGGCUAAUACCCCGGGGGGAUGACGGUACCGGAAGAAUAAGCACCGGCUAACUACGUG